UGUUACUGGACAACUAGUAAUAGCAAUUCAGGGGUUAGGGGUCUGAAUUUCUAUUCAAAACCACCCGUAAUAACAUUUUUCCUUUUUUGGACCAAAAUAGCUUGCCUCUCUUCUUUAUCGUUUUCACUUUCACUUCAGAUUUCUUUCUCGACAUUUAUCCCCAAAGUGAACCCCAAAAAUUAGCUCCUUAAUCAAUGACAAAUUAAGCAUCCAUUCACUAUCUUCAUCUUCCUUCUAGUUGAACCUCCUUAUUUACAGUAAGCUUGAUUGCUUGCUUUGAAGAUAUAGUUUUGCUUUGUAAUAUUUGUAAUUUCUGUAAGUUUAUCAUCAGGACGUGUUGCAUUCUUGUUGUAGUCUGUUUUAUAUCUAAUAAGACAUGCCCUUUCAAGGUGCGAUUCCUAGGAGCCAAACUCGAGUCACUUAUGUUCAAAUAGAAGGUUUUAGCUUCUCAUGUAUAAGCUAUUGGUAUAUGCAAGAAAUUGUUUGCUCAGACUAUUUAUUACUUUUAAUCUUUUACUUUUUAGUUUAGAAGAUAAUUAAA
Gossypium raimondii (Peruvian cotton) is the source of this 541-nucleotide long non-coding RNA. RefSeq lists it as uncharacterized. The transcript is spliced from 2 exons. The record is from RefSeq and is a predicted model, not a curated record. Lineage: Eukaryota; Viridiplantae; Streptophyta; Magnoliopsida; Malvales; Malvaceae.